GAUGAACGCUGGCGGCGUGCCUAAUACAUGCAAGUCGAGCGAACAGACGAGGAGCUUGCUCCUCUGACGUUAGCGGCGGACGGGUGAGUAACACGUGGAUAACCUACCUAUAAGACUGGGAUAACUUCGGGAAACCGGAGCUAAUACCGGAUAAUAUAUUGAACCGCAUGGUUCAAUAGUGAAAGACGGUUUUGCUGUCACUUAUAGAUGGAUCCGCGCCGCAUUAGCUAGUUGGUAAGGUAACGGCUUACCAAGGCAACGAUGCGUAGCCGACCUGAGAGGGUGAUCUGCCACACUGGAACUGAGACACGGUCCAGACUCCUACGAGAGGCAGCAGUAGGGAAUCUUCCGCAGUGGGCGAAAGCCUGACGGAGCAACGCCGCGUGAGUGAUGAAGGUCUUCGGAUCGUAAAACUCUGUUAUUAGGGAAGAACAAAUGUGUAAGUAACUAUGCACGUCUUGACGGUACCUAAUCAGAAAGCCACGGCUAACUACGUG
Molecule: ribosomal RNA, 497 nt
Filed under: uncultured bacterium
Lineage: Bacteria
Description: partial 16S ribosomal RNA
Rfam family: Bacterial small subunit ribosomal RNA
Source: RNAcentral